AUUGAACGCUGGCGGCAGGCUUAACACAUGCAAGUCGAGCGGGGUGAUGGUGCUUGCACUAUCACUUAGCGGCGGACGGGUGAGUAAUGCUUAGGAAUCUGCCUAUUAGUGGGGGACGACAUCUCGAAAGGGAUGCUAAUACCGCAUACGUCCUACGGGAGAAAGCAGGGGAUCACUUGUGACCUUGCGCUAAUAGAUGAGCCUAAGUCGGAUUAGCUAGUUGGUGGGGUAAAGGCCUACCAAGGCGACGAUCUGUAGCGGGUCUGAGAGGAUGAUCCGCCACACUGGGACUGAGACACGGCCCAGACUCCUACGGGAGGCAGCAGUGGGGAAUAUUGGACAAUGGGGGGAACCCUGAUCCAGCCAUGCCGCGUGUGUGAAGAAGGCCUUAUGGUUGUAAAGCACUUUAAGCGAGGAGGAGGCUCUUUUGGUUAAUACCCAAGAUGAGUGGACGUUACUCGCAGAGUAAGCACCGGCUAACUCUGUGCCAGCAGCCGCCGUAA
Molecule: ribosomal RNA, 503 nt
Filed under: uncultured bacterium
Lineage: Bacteria
Description: partial 16S ribosomal RNA
Rfam family: Bacterial small subunit ribosomal RNA
Source: RNAcentral